CAAUGGCGGUCGGCGAGGUGCUGCAUGGUUGUCGUCAGCUCGUGCCGUGAGGUGUCGGCUUAAGUGCCAUAACGAGCGCAACCCCUGCCGGUAGUUGCCAGCGGAUCACGCCGGGGACUCUACCGGGACUGCCAGCGCAAGCUGCGAGGAAGGCGGGGAUGACGUCAAAUCAGCACGGCCCUUACGUCUGGGGCGACACACGUGUUACAAUGGCCGGUACAGAGGGCAGCCACCCCGCGAGGGGGCGCGAAUCUCCAAAGCCGGUCGUAGUUCGGAUCGGAGGCUGCAACCCGCCUCCGUGAAGCUGGAUUCGCUAGUAAUCGCAUAUCAGCCAUGAUGCGGUGAAUACGUUCCCGGGCCUUGUACACACCGCCCGUCAAACCAUGGGAGCCGGGGGGACCUGAAGCGCGUGACCGCAAGGAGCGCCCUAGGGUAAAACCGGUGACUGGGGUUAAGUCGUAACAAGGUA
Molecule: ribosomal RNA, 469 nt
Filed under: uncultured Bacteroidota bacterium
Lineage: Bacteria; Pseudomonadati; Bacteroidota
Description: bacterial SSU rRNA
Rfam family: Bacterial small subunit ribosomal RNA
Source: RNAcentral